Syngnathus typhle (broad-nosed pipefish) is the source of this 1559-nucleotide long non-coding RNA. RefSeq lists it as uncharacterized. The transcript is spliced from 4 exons. The record is from RefSeq and is a predicted model, not a curated record. NCBI's taxonomy places the organism in Eukaryota, Metazoa, Chordata, Actinopteri, Syngnathiformes, Syngnathidae.
CAACUCAGGAACUAGGAAGUAAAUAUUGCCUCGGGUCUAUUGACAACAAUGGACUUUGUUUGCACUUGAUAGUAAUCUAACAUAAGGGCCAGGGACAAAGCCUUCAGAGCGGGGGAUGAGGCUGGCUUGAGGGCUUCGACGCUCAGAACAGCACUUGCCCGCUGAAGGCCCCUCCUCCUCCACAAGAGCAGCCCCUGUGCCUCUCUGCUGAUAGCGUGAGGAGGGCGCUUGCCGCUAUCAACACUCGUAAGGCGGCGGGCCCUGACAACAUCCCGGGUCGAGCGCUGAAGGACUGCGCUGGGGAGCUGACGGAUGUCUUCACGGACAUCUUCAACAUUUCCCUGCAGCAAGCCGUCGUCCCUUCGUGUUUCAAGGCUGCCACCAUCGUACCUGUGCCGAAGAAACCUGCCCCGUCCUGCUUCAAUGACUACCGCCCCGUGGCACUGACGGCCAUCAUCAUGAAGUGCUUUGCCACCAUAGACCCCUUCCAGUUUGCGUACCGAGCCAAACGGUCCUCUGAGGAUGCCAUCUGCUCUGCCCUCCGCUCGGCCCUCACCCACCUGGAGAAUAGGGACUCGUAUGUGAGAUUGCUGUUUGUGGACUUCAGUUCUGCCUUCAACACCAUUGUGCCACAACGACUCAUCUGCAAACUCGCCAAGCUGGGCCUCAGUACCUACCUCUGCAACUGGCUACUAGACUUCCUCAGUCAGAGACCUCAGAUGGUACGGGUUGGCGACAAGAUCUCCGCCAGCAUCACGCUGAGCACGGGGGCCCCCCAAGGCUGCAUGCUCAGUCCGCUGCUCUUCACCCUGCUGACGCAUGACUGCGCUGCGAGCUACAGCACCAACCCCAUGGUGAAAUUUGCUGACGACACGACUCUGGUGGGUCUCAUCACCAAGAGACUCAGUACAGGUUGGAGGUUGACCUUCUGACCACGUGGUGCAAGGUCAACAACCUCCUGCUGAACGUCAACAAGACCAAGGAGAUUGUUGUUGACUUCCGGAAGGGUCACACCCAACACCUGCCGCUGACCAUCGACGGUGCUGUGGUUGAGAGAGUGAGCCGCACCAGGUUCCUGGGGGUGCACAUCAGUGAGGAUCUCUCCUGGUCCUCCAACACCGCAUCACUGGCGAAGAAGGCCCAGCGCCGCCUGUACUUCCUGCGGAAACUCAGGAGCAGUACACAAGUCCCAGGAUUCCGACUGAGGCUGGAGGAAGUGACAUCCAGUCAAUCUCAAAGAGAUGCUCAACCUUGGACGACACUACAGAUAUUUUCGAGGUCUAAUCUAAUCUAACCUACCCUGAGGGGUCAAUCGUAAUCUUGCAAGAUCAAAGAUUGAGCUGGACACCCUUGCACUGUAGUUACACAUCACAAAAUCAACAUUCUGUUGAUUCCUGUCUAUUCCAGGCUAGAUCUGACCUUGACUCAUACAUGCUGUGUCCAUGUUACAGGAUUGGAUCAGGGGAUGCUUUGAGAAUAAUUGUCAAUUUUUGUCUAUGGGAAGCCCUUUGAGACUGCUUGUGAUUUAGGGCUAUACAAAUAAACUUGACUUGACUUGA